RNAcentral lists this long non-coding RNA (1123 nucleotides) under Manacus vitellinus (golden-collared manakin). Its description in RNAcentral is "lncRNA (ENSMVIG00005003248.1)". The record is from RNAcentral. Lineage: Eukaryota; Metazoa; Chordata; Aves; Passeriformes; Pipridae.
UUGUAUGCGCUCAUAGGGGGGCAAUCAGGAGAAAGUGGUGGUAUGGAGACCCAAUCCAUGAAGCAGAUACCUUUUGAGAAUUCUGAAUAUCCUUGGGCUGUUCAAACCAGCGUGUUCCUAUUGCUAUGUCUCCUGCAUGUGUUCCAGGGCUGGUCUAAGGUUAAACAGCUACUUAAGAAUCCCACCCAGAGAUUUGCUCUGGGGCUGGAUAUUUCUGAGUGGCAGGGUGUGUGGAAUAGCAUGGGCAAGUACCUAGGACAGUGGGCAUCUCCAGCAUAUUGGAACUUCACCCUUGAAGAAGUGCAGAAUCUGGAAAAGCUAGUAAAACAUCUGGAAAAAGUAUGCUGUCACCCUGUCUAUUCCAGAGAGGCACAAAGGACUGCAACAUGCUGGGGCCUGGCCCAGGCCUCCCAGGUAAUCUUUGACAUUAUUCAUUAUCCUCAAGAGAAAAAGAAGCUCUCUGAAUCUGAUGACAAGACAAAAGAAACUGGAGCUACUCCAACCUUAGUGACAGGCACUGAGGUUACUCCAACCCUGGUGUCAGGCACAGCACCUGAACCAGGGAACCAGCCUGUGCUGGUAUCAGUUGCCCCUAUACACAAGAAGUAAUGGACACAAAAGUCAGCUUCUUUAGUAAAGGAGAACAAAGCCACCACAAAGAACAGGAAGAAGAGGCAGAACAAGGUGGGACCUUCCAACAUCAGGAUACACAUUUAGCAAAUGCCACCUGGUUAAUGAACACUAAGGGAUCUGCCAGCUGGGCUGGCCCUGCUCAAUCAGAAUUUCCACCUACUGUAGAAGGGGAUAAAGUUCCUAUAGUGCAUGUAAAAAAAUCUGCUGGGGAAAACAAUCUGGGUUACUCCUGCCUCAGGCAAAGGUACACCCAUCUGUGGGACUGCUGUUGCUCAAGGACCUGGGUGCAUUUGCUGGGUAAUGUGGAAGGACUGGGAAUUCCGAUGCAUACCUCAAGGGAAUUUGAUUUUGGAUGAGAAUAGCCAAUGAAUUAAAUUCUAUGUUAAUUGCUAUUAACACUGUAUUAUCACUUCUAUAGUGACUAUAUGCUCAUCAGUGCAUUGUCUCUGCCACUCCGAUUUGGGGAUUUGACCCUGACUGUUCUUAUCUU